AAAUAAAAUUGGUUUAAUUUUUUAUUUUUUUAUUGUAUAUAUCCAUAUGCAAAAGAUUGAAACUGGAUCCUUAUCUUACACACAAAAAUCAACUCAUAAUAGAUUAAAGACCUAAACAUAAGACCUGCAACUGUAAAAUGCCUAAAAUAAAACACAGGUGAAAAGCUUUAAAACAUUGCUCUUGGCAAUGAUUUCCUGAAUACGACACCAAAAGUACAGAAAAGAGGAAAAUUGGACAAAUAAGACUACAUUAAACUAAAAAGCAUAUGUGCAGUAAAGGAAAUGAGUGAAAAGGCAAUCUAUGGAAUGAGAGAAAAUAUAUGCAAACCAUAUAUCUUAUAAGAAAUCAAUAACCAAAAUAUAUAAAAAACUCCAUAACUCAAUGGCAGAAACACAACUUGAUUAAAAAGCGGGCAAAGAACUUGUUUAGACAUUUGUUCCAAGAAAUACAAAUGGCCAACAAGUAUAUAAAAAGAUGAUCAAUAUCAGUAAUCAAGCAAGGAAAUGCAAAUCAAAACCACAAGGAGGAGGGAAAGCAAUGCGAUAUCAACCGACACCUGUUACGAUGGCCAUAACCAAAACACAAAAUAACAACUGUCAGCAAGGAUGGGAAGACAUUGGAACCCUUGUGCACUUUUGGAACUGAAAACUAGGACCCUGAAGAGGCAUCUGCACUUCUGUGUUCGUUGCAGCAUUACUCGCAAUAGCCAAAGGGCAGA
Molecule: long non-coding RNA, 719 nt
Filed under: Homo sapiens (human)
Lineage: Eukaryota; Metazoa; Chordata; Mammalia; Primates; Hominidae
Description: HSALNT0031503
Source: RNAcentral